Nicotiana tabacum (common tobacco) is the source of this 523-nucleotide long non-coding RNA. RefSeq lists it as uncharacterized. The record is from RefSeq and is a predicted model, not a curated record. NCBI's taxonomy places the organism in Eukaryota, Viridiplantae, Streptophyta, Magnoliopsida, Solanales, Solanaceae.
AAGAAUUAACUUCCUGGUUUCAAGAUAGGAAAAGUUACAAGGAGGGUGAGCAGACGUUGGCACUACACCAGAAAAGAUAUCAAUUAAUUUACUUUGAAAAAUUGGCACUGUGCGGGAACUUUGGUAGAGAAAUCAAAGCAAUCAGAUUGAUUGGAGGAAUUCGUACGAAUCGCACGAGGUGAAGUAUUUGGUAUUUCGGCACGAGUACUAGACAGCAGUUGACACAGGCGAGGAUUUCGUUAAUUAGAGCGCACAGGUUGAUAGUUCUUGGCGAGCCUCGCACUUGUUCGCGUGAACGGAGAUUUUAUUUAUUGUUAUGGUCUAUUCUUUGAAUUCUUAGAGUCUCUCCAUAGUCAUUAUUUUAGUGUCAUGAGUAUUAUUUAUUUAUUAUAGUCUUAUGCUAAGUAUCGUUUUUUAUUAUCAAAGUUGGAGAUAAAUUAGUGUUUCUAGUGGUUAGUUGGUGAUUUAGUUAUGGUGGAGACUUGUAUUAGUUAAUUGGCAAGUUGUCAAUUGUUGGGUAUGA